UACGUAGGGUGCGAGCGUUGUCCGGAAUUAUUGGGCGUAAAGAGCUCGUAGGCGGCCUGUCACGUCGGUUGUGAAAGCCCGGGGCUUAACCCCGGGUCUGCAGUCGAUACGGGCAGGCUAGAGUUCGGUAGGGGAGAUCGGAAUUCCUGGUGUAGCGGUGAAAUGCGCAGAUAUCAGGAGGAACACCGAUGGCGAAGGCAGGUCUCUGGGCCGAUACUGACGCUGAGGAGCGAAAGCGUGGGGAGCGAACAGG
Molecule: ribosomal RNA, 253 nt
Filed under: uncultured bacterium
Lineage: Bacteria
Description: partial 16S ribosomal RNA
Rfam family: Bacterial small subunit ribosomal RNA
Source: RNAcentral